Molecule: ribosomal RNA, 439 nt
Filed under: uncultured bacterium
Lineage: Bacteria
Description: partial 16S ribosomal RNA
Rfam family: Bacterial small subunit ribosomal RNA
Source: RNAcentral
CUACGGGACGCACCAGUGAGGAAUAUUGCACAAUGGGGGGAACCCUGAUGCAGCAACGCCGCGUGGAGGAUGACGCAUUUCGGUGUGUAAACUCCUUUUAUAUGUCAAGAAAAUGACGGUAGCAUAUGAAUAAGCACCGGCUAACUCCGUGCCAGCAGCCGCGGUAAUACGGAGGGUGCAAGCGUUACUCGGAAUCACUGGGCGUAAAGGACGCGUAGGCGGGUUGGAAAGUCAGGUGUGAAAUCCUACAGCUUAACUGUAGAACUGCACUUGAAACUUCUAAUCUAGAGUAUGGGAGGGGGAGAUGGAAUUAGUGGUGUAGGGGUAAAAUCCGUAGAUAUCACUAGGAAUACCUAAAGCGAAGGCGAUCUCCUGGAACAUUACUGACGCUAAGGCAUGAAAGCGUGGGGAGCAAACAGGAUUAGAUACCCGUGUAGUC